CCCCCUGGCCGCGUGCCUAUACAUGCAAGUCGAACGAACUCUGGUAUUGAUUGGUGCUUGCAUCAUGAUUUACAUUUGAGUGAGUGGCGAACUGGUGAGUAACACGUGGGAAACCUGCCCAGAAGCGGGGGAUAACACCUGGAAACAGAUGCUAAUACCGCAUAACAACUUGGACCGCAUGGUCCGAGUUUGAAAGAUGGCUUCGGCUAUCACUUUUGGAUGGUCCCGCGGCGUAUUAGCUAGAUGGUGAGGUAACGGCUCACCAUGGCAAUGAUACGUAGCCGACCUGAGAGGGUAAUCGGCCACAUUGGGACUGAGACACGGCCCAAACUCCUACGGGAGGCAGCAGUAGGGAAUCUUCCACAAUGGACGAAAGUCUGAUGGAGCAACGCCGCGUGAGUGAAGAAGGGUUUCGGCUCGUAAAACUCUGUUGUUAAAGAAGAACAUAUCUGAGAGUAACUGUUCAGGUAUUGACGGUAUUUAACCAGAAAGCCACGGCUAACUACGUGCCAGCAGCCGCGGUAAUACGUAGGUGGCAAGCGUUGUCCGGAUUUAUUGGGCGUAAAGCGAGCGCAGGCGGUUUUUUAAGUCUGAUGUGAAAGCCUUCGGCUCAACCGAAGAAGUGCAUCGGAAACUGGGAAACUUGAGUGCAGAAGAGGACAGUGGAACUCCAUGUGUAGCGGUGAAAUGCGUAGAUAUAUGGAAGAACACCAGUGGCGAAGGCGGCUGUCUGGUCUGUAACUGACGCUGAGGCUCGAAAGUAUGGGUAGCAAACAGGAUUAGAUACCCUGGUAGUCCAUACCGUAAACGAUGAAUGCUAAGUGUUGGAGGGUUUCCGCCCUUCAGUGCUGCAGCUAACGCAUUAAGCAUUCCGCCUGGGGAGUACGGCCGCAAGGCUGAAACUCAAAGGAAUUGACGGGGGCCCGCACAAGCGGUGGAGCAUGUGGUUUAAUUCGAAGCUACGCGAAGAACCUUACCAGGUCUUGACAUACUAUGCAAAUCUAAGAGAUUAGACGUUCCCUUCGGGGACAUGGAUACAGGUGGUGCAUGGUUGUCGUCAGCUCGUGUCGUGAGAUGUUGGGUUAAGUCCCGCAACGAGCGCAACCCUUAUUAUCAGUUGCCAGCAUUAAGUUGGGCACUCUGGUGAGACUGCCGGUGACAAACCGGAGGAAGGUGGGGAUGACGUCAAAUCAUCAUGCCCCUUAUGACCUGGGCUACACACGUGCUACAAUGGAUGGUACAACGAGUUGCGAACUCGCGAGAGUAAGCUAAUCUCUUAAAGCCAUUCUCAGUUCGGAUUGUAGGCUGCAACUCGCCUACAUGAAGUCGGAAUCGCUAGUAAUCGCGGAUCAGCAUGCCGCGGUGAAUACGUUCCCGGGCCUUGUACACACCGCCCGUCACACCAUGAGAGUUUGUAACACCCAAAGUCGGUGGGGUAACCUUUUAGGAACCAGCCGCCUAAGGUGAACAAGGAUUGG
This 1478-nucleotide ribosomal RNA is filed under the name Lactiplantibacillus plantarum. Its description in RNAcentral is "bacterial SSU rRNA". It matches the Rfam family "Bacterial small subunit ribosomal RNA". Lineage: Bacteria; Bacillati; Bacillota; Bacilli; Lactobacillales; Lactobacillaceae. The record is from RNAcentral.